AUGGCGACCGGAGGCGGGCUCGGCCGGGAACGGCGGGCACGUGCCCUCUCAGGGCGAGCUGCAGGCGGGUGCAGCCAGGGGCGCCAGUGUGGGCGGCACGGGGCGUGCGCUUGUGGCUGCUGCGACAGGAGGCAGCAGCGCAGCAGCAUAGGGGCGCUGGCGGGGGCGAGCAGCGCACGGACUGGGCGUCGCGUGGGCGUGGUGCAACGUGGCCGAAACGCCUGGGCACGUGGCCAGGGGCGCGGUGAGCACGAGCUCACAGAGAGCUCCGGCACGGUGGAGGCGCGCGGCAAGGCUCUGGUGGCCAUGAACAUCAUGCCACGGUUAGGGCUGGCAUGGAAGUACUCCAUCGACGUGGGUGUGGUUGUGGUGGACGCCGACUACAGGGGAACCGUCGGCGUCAUCCUCUUCAACCACCCCGGCAUCGACUUCCUAGUCAUCAAUAGAAUCACCACGCCCGACGUCGCCGAGGUGGACGACCUCGAUGCCACCUUGAGGGGUGAGGGAGGCUUCGGAUCCACUGAUGUUUGA
RNAcentral lists this ribosomal RNA (531 nucleotides) under Triticum aestivum (bread wheat). RNAcentral's name for it is "partial small subunit ribosomal RNA". Lineage: Eukaryota; Viridiplantae; Streptophyta; Magnoliopsida; Poales; Poaceae. The record is from RNAcentral.